GUGGUUUAAUUUGAUGCAAAUUAAAGAAUCUUACUAGGGCUUGAUAUGCCGUGAAUCCUCUUGAAAGAGAGGGGCGCCUUCGGGAACGCGGGCACAAGUGGUGCAUAGUUGUCAUCAGCUCGUGCUGUAAGGUGUUGGGUUAAGCCCAACAACGAGCGCAACCCUCGUACUUAGUUGCCAUCGUUUAGUUUGGAACCCUGAACAUACUGUUUGUGAUAAGCCGGAGGAAGGUGAGGCCGACGUAAAGCCAUCACGCCCCUUAUGCCCUGGGCGACGUGC
RNAcentral lists this non-coding RNA (279 nucleotides) under Nicotiana tabacum (common tobacco). RNAcentral's name for it is "Bacterial small subunit ribosomal RNA". It matches the Rfam family "Bacterial small subunit ribosomal RNA", at positions 941 to 1221 of the family's 1533-position model. The record is from Rfam by way of RNAcentral. Lineage: Eukaryota; Viridiplantae; Streptophyta; Magnoliopsida; Solanales; Solanaceae.